Molecule: small RNA, 281 nt
Filed under: uncultured Devosia sp.
Lineage: Bacteria; Pseudomonadati; Pseudomonadota; Alphaproteobacteria; Hyphomicrobiales; Devosiaceae
Description: 5' ureB small RNA
Rfam family: 5' ureB small RNA
Source: RNAcentral
UCGAUCUGCUGGGGGCAGAUGAAGUGGAUAUGCGCGUCCAUGCCGCCGGCAGUGAUGAUCUUGCCUUCGCCCGCAAUAGCCUCGGUCGAGGGGCCGAUGAUGAUGUCGAUAUUGGGCUGGGUAUCGGGGUUGCCGGCCUUGCCGAUGCCGGCGAUGAGGCCGUUUUUAAGCCCGAUGUCGGCCUUGUAGAUGCCGGUAUGGUCGACGAUCAGUGCAUUGGUAAUGACGGUAUCAACGGCGCCUUCGGCACGGCUGCGCUGGGAUUGGCCCAUGCCGUCGCG